Molecule: ribosomal RNA, 253 nt
Filed under: uncultured bacterium
Lineage: Bacteria
Description: partial 16S ribosomal RNA
Rfam family: Bacterial small subunit ribosomal RNA
Source: RNAcentral
UACGAAGGGGGCUAGCGUUGCUCGGAAUCACUGGGCGUAAAGCGCACGUAGGCGGAUUUUUAAGUCAGGGGUGAAAUCCUGGAGCUCAACUCCAGAACUGCCUUUGAUACUGGGAAUCUCGAGUCCGGGAGAGGUGAGUGGAACUGCGAGUGUAGAGGUGAAAUUCGUAGAUAUUCGCAAGAACACCAGUGGCGAAGGCGGCUCACUGGCCCGGUACUGACGCUGAGGUGCGAAAGCGUGGGGAGCAAACAGG